RNAcentral lists this long non-coding RNA (413 nucleotides) under Macaca mulatta (Rhesus monkey). RNAcentral describes it as "lncRNA (ENSMMUG00000060220.1)". Lineage: Eukaryota; Metazoa; Chordata; Mammalia; Primates; Cercopithecidae. The record is from RNAcentral.
UUUUCUGUUUUGUUUUGCUUUGCUUUGCUGGGUUUUCUUUAGAAUAAUAGCCCAUCUGACCACCAGCAGGUUCAAGAGAAUGUAGAGCCAAACACUCAGGAAAAGUAUCACAGUGAAGAAUCAAACCUUAACAGCCAUUUGCAUUUAGAAUCCUGCAGUUAGUUCAUCCUCAAUAUGAAGAUGUGACUUUCACUUCAGUUGCCUCAGGCAGUUAAGUAUUUAUCCUAUUUCUGAAGCCUCAGUACUAGUAAUACCUUCAUUCAUGUAAUGACUUAUCAAGGACUGGCUACAGCUUACAACUACCACAUAAUGUCAGCAGCUUGAAGCAUCAAAGCUUCUGUUUCAGCACCACAUCAAAACUCAGGAAGCUUUAAAGUUCAUCCAAACACCCAGCCCUUGCUGAAAGAAGACAC